CUUCCUAUUUCACACCUUUGGGC
RNAcentral lists this non-coding RNA (23 nucleotides) under Rattus norvegicus (Norway rat). The record is from RNAcentral. Lineage: Eukaryota; Metazoa; Chordata; Mammalia; Rodentia; Muridae.